CGAACGCUGGCGGCGUGGAUAAGACAUGCAAGUCGAACGGGGUUUAGUUUGUAGUAAUACACGCUAAAUUCAGUGGCGAACGGGUGCGUAACACGUGAGUAAUCUGCCGGGAAGUGGGGGAUAGCUCGCCGAAAGGCGAAUUAAUACCGCAUAUGGCAAGGAGAGACAUCUUUCCAAAGCCAAAGUCGCAAGACGCUUCCUGAUGAACUCGCGGCCUAUCAGCUUGUUGGUGAGGUAACGGCUCACCAAGGCUAUGACGGGUAGCUGGUCUGAGAGGGCGACCGGCCACACUGGGACUGAGACACGGCCCAGACUCCUACGGGAGGCAGCAGUGGGGAAUAUUGCGCAAUGGGCGAAAGCCUGACGCAGCAACGCCGCGUGAGGGAUGACGGCCUCGGGUUGCAAACCUCUUUCAGCAGGGAAGAAGCGAAAGUGACGGUACCUGCAGAAGAAGCACCGGCUAACUACGUGCCAGCAGCCGC
RNAcentral lists this ribosomal RNA (482 nucleotides) under uncultured bacterium. Its description in RNAcentral is "bacterial SSU rRNA". It matches the Rfam family "Bacterial small subunit ribosomal RNA", at positions 30 to 518 of the family's 1533-position model. The record is from RNAcentral.